ACGACCAUAGGACGAUGAGAACUAGGCUUCCCGUUCGCUCAGCCAUAUAUAAGCAUCGUACCGGCGGAUUAGUAGUCAGGUGGGUGACCACUGGCGAAUCCCCGCUGUUGUAUGUU
This 116-nucleotide ribosomal RNA is filed under the name Parastagonospora nodorum. The record is from RNAcentral. Lineage: Eukaryota; Fungi; Ascomycota; Dothideomycetes; Pleosporales; Phaeosphaeriaceae. RNAcentral also lists the same sequence under 1 other name.